CGCAAGCCUGACCGCCUGCCGCGUGCAGGAUGACGGUCCUAUGGAUUGUAAACUGCUUUUAUACGAGAAGAGACACUACUUCGUGAAGUAGCUUGACGGUAUCGUAAGAAUAAGGAUCGGCUAACUCCGUGCCAGCAGCCGCGGUAAUACGGAGGAUCCAAGCGUUAUCCGGAAUCAUUGGGUUUAAAGGGUCCGUAGGCGGUUUGGUAAGUCAGUGGUGAAAGCCCAUCGCUCAACGGUGGAACGGCCAUUGAUACUGCCAGACUUGAAUUAUUAGGAAGUAACUAGAAUAUGUAGUGUAGCGGUGAAAUGCUUAGAGAUUACAUGGAAUACCAAUUGCGAAGGCAGGUUACUACUAAUGGAUUGACGCUGAUGGACGAAAGCGUGGGUAGCGAACAGGAUUAGAUACCCUGGUAGUCCACGCCGUAAACGAUGGAUACUAGCUGUUGGAAGCAAUUUCAGUGGCUAAGCGAAAGUGAUAAGUAUCCCACCUGGGGAGUACGUUCGCAAGAAUGAAACUCAGAAA
Molecule: ribosomal RNA, 526 nt
Filed under: uncultured Flavobacterium sp.
Lineage: Bacteria; Pseudomonadati; Bacteroidota; Flavobacteriia; Flavobacteriales; Flavobacteriaceae
Description: bacterial SSU rRNA
Rfam family: Bacterial small subunit ribosomal RNA
Source: RNAcentral